UAGGAUCUGUUAGACAGUAGGAGGUGUGCACACAGGAUCUGUUAGACAGUAGGAGGUGUGCACACAGGAUCUGUUAGAUAGUAGGAGGUGUGCACACAGGAUCUGUUAGACAGUAGGAGGUGUACACACAGGAUCUGUUAGACAGUAGGAGGUGUGCACACAGGAUCUGUUAGACAGUAGGAAGGGUGCACACAGGAUCUGUUAGACAGUAGGAAGGGUGCACACAGGAUCUGUUAGACAGUAGGAGGUGUACACACAGGAUCUGUUAGACAGUAGGAGGUGUACACACAGGAUCUGUUAGACAGUAGGAGGUGUGCACACAGGAUCUGUUAGACAGUAGGAGGUGUGCACACAGAAUCUGUUAGACAGUAGGAGGUGUGCACACAGGAUCUGUUAGACAGUAGGAGGUGUGCACACAGGAUCUGUUGGACAGUAGAAGGUGUGCACACAGGAUCUGUUAGACAGUAGAAGGUGUGCACACGGGA
Molecule: long non-coding RNA, 485 nt
Organism: Ochotona princeps (American pika)
Lineage: Eukaryota; Metazoa; Chordata; Mammalia; Lagomorpha; Ochotonidae
Exons: 3
Source: RefSeq, a predicted model, not a curated record